Molecule: ribosomal RNA, 443 nt
Filed under: Streptococcus mitis
Lineage: Bacteria; Bacillati; Bacillota; Bacilli; Lactobacillales; Streptococcaceae
Description: bacterial SSU rRNA
Rfam family: Bacterial small subunit ribosomal RNA
Source: RNAcentral
GACGAACGCUGGCGGCGUGCCUAAUACAUGCAAGUAGAACGCUGAAGGAGGAGCUUGCUUCUCUGGAUGAGUUGCGAACGGGUGAGUAACGCGUAGGUAACCUGCCUGGUAGCGGGGGAUAACUAUUGGAAACGAUAGCUAAUACCGCAUAAUAGUAGAUGUUGCAUGACAUUUACUUAAAAGGUGCAAUUGCAUCACUACCAGAUGGACCUGCGUUGUAUUAGCUAGUUGGUGGGGUAACGGCUCACCAAGGCGACGAUACAUAGCCGACCUGAGAGGGUGAUCGGCCACACUGGGACUGAGACACGGCCCAGACUCCUACGGGAGGCAGCAGUAGGGAAUCUUCGGCAAUGGACGGAAGUCUGACCGAGCAACGCCGCGUGAGUGAAGAAGGUUUUCGGAUCGUAAAGCUCUGUUGUAAGAGAAGAGGCGAGUGUGAGAGU